UCCAUCCGAUGAACAGCAGCGACUGAAGCCCCAUGACGAGGGAAAAAACCCUUCGAGGGUCUUCUCGCACAGAAAUGACAGAACUGAAGCCACGCCGCAGGAGCUUUCCGGCCGCCGCCGCCGCCGGAGAGGAAGGGAGCAAACUCCGCCGUCCCCCGUUCGAUCCUCCUCCCCCGUUCCUACUGCUUCCUCCGCUGCGUACCGCUCCGCCUUCCUCCUCCUCCGCGCACAGCUCCGACGGCCUCCCCCAUGCGACCUCGCCUCGUCGGAUCCAUCCACUUCCCUGCGACCACUCCACCCACUGUCUGGUAGCCGCCGCCAGCCUUACCCCUCCUCCUAUAGCAGUGGCAUCGAGCUCCAGGCGUCGGAAGACUCCAGCAGCAGUAGGAUUUGAUUGCAAUUGCAGGAGAGGGACGGGAGCAAGUGUUCAGCUACUGCUUGUGUAAUCUGUUUCUAGAUUGUUCAGAUUUUGCUUGUGUAACAGAUUUCAGUGCUUCAGAAAUGAAACCUGCGACUAAUUUGUUUGUGAAACUGUUCUCCUCAGUUUUACUGGCAACUCUGAACUGAAACUCCAUGUAGAAUCUCAGUUUUCUCUAGUACAUGGUCAGAAUUUCAAUUA
Brachypodium distachyon (stiff brome) is the source of this 619-nucleotide long non-coding RNA. RefSeq lists it as uncharacterized. The record is from RefSeq and is a predicted model, not a curated record. The transcript has 2 exons. NCBI's taxonomy places the organism in Eukaryota, Viridiplantae, Streptophyta, Magnoliopsida, Poales, Poaceae.